CCUACGGGUGGCAGCAGUGAGGAAUAUUGGUCAAUGGACGAGAGUCUGAACCAGCCAAGUAGCGUGAAGGAUGACUGCCCUAUGGGUUGUAAACUUCUUUUAUAUGGGAAUAAAAUGUUCCACGUGUGGGAUUUUGUAUGUACCAUAUGAAUAAGGAUCGGCUAACUCCGGGCCAGCAGCCGCGGUAAUACGGAGGAUCCGAGCGUUAUCCGGAUUUAUUGGGUUUAAAGGGAGCGUAGGUGGAUUGUUAAGUCAGUUGUGAAAGUUUGCGGCUCAACCGUAAAAUUGCAGUUGAAACUGGCAGUCUUGAGUACAGUAGAGGUGGGCGGAAUGCGUGGUGUAGCGGUGAAAUGCUUAGAUAUCACGAAGAACUCCGAUUGCGAAGGCAGUUCACUGGACUGCAACUGACACUGAGGCUCGAAAGUGUGGGUAUCAAACAGGAUUAGAUACCCCAGUAGUC
Molecule: ribosomal RNA, 460 nt
Filed under: uncultured bacterium
Lineage: Bacteria
Description: partial 16S ribosomal RNA
Rfam family: Bacterial small subunit ribosomal RNA
Source: RNAcentral